GACGAACGCUGGCGGCGUGCUUAACACAUGCAAGUCGAACGGAAAGGCCCUGCUUUUGUGGGGUGCUCGAGUGGCGAACGGGUGAGUAACACGUGAGUAACCUGCCCUUGACUUUGGGAUAACUUCAGGAAACUGGGGCUAAUACCGGAUAGGAGCUCCUGCUGCAUGGUGGGGGUUGGAAAGUUUCGGCGGUUGGGGAUGGACUCGCGGCUUAUCAGCUUGUUGGUGGGGUAGUGGCUUACCAAGGCUUUGACGGGUAGCCGGCCUGAGAGGGUGACCGGGCAGCAUGGGACAUAGAGAGGGACCAGACCCCGACGGGAGGAAGGCAGGGGGAAUAUUGCACAAUGGGCGGAAGCCUGAUGCAGCAACGCCGCGUGCGGGAUGACGGCCUUCGGGUUGUAAACCGCUUUCGCCUGUGACGAAGCGUGAGUGACGGUAAUGGGUAAAGAAGCACCGGCUAACUACGUG
This 468-nucleotide ribosomal RNA is filed under the name uncultured bacterium. RNAcentral describes it as "partial 16S ribosomal RNA". It matches the Rfam family "Bacterial small subunit ribosomal RNA", at positions 28 to 507 of the family's 1533-position model. The record is from RNAcentral.